GUUAGGUUUUAUUCUGCCGUCAGACAUUUAGCUUGAUGGCCGCAGUAUCGUCCGUGUUUGAUGAAAUCGAGCCCACUGAUAUCGCAAAAUCAUGUGGUGUUGAAUAAACAUCGUUGACUGCUUAUAGGAUUUCGGAGGACGAUCUCAUCUCAGUUGCUGGAAGGUGUUGAUCGUCAAUUCAAAAAACUUUGGUGGCUUCUUAAGAGAUCUAUGAUGGAUUGUUUGAAAAUUUACACUCUUUUGUGAAAAGAUAUAUGGCAGGUAAUGAAACCGAGUCAUGCCAUUUUAUGUGAACGAUGAGAGCUUUGGUGCUGAGACCACAAACUCAUAGGAAGUUGCAAUGUGAAUGUAACACAUUGAAAUUUACAAGGUGGUCAGAGUCAGAAAAUCACAAGUCAAACAUGGGACUUAUCUUAAGCCCAAAUCGAUGCUCAAAAAGAAGUGUUCAAGAUAUCAAGAUCUAAACAAAGAUAUAUGAGAUCCACCACGUUUUAUUAGCGUAUCAUUCAAAAUUCAAUCCUUUGCUUCGGCGUCCAAUGCGACAUUGCAUAGAUUAUGAUCAUGCAUAUAUAGAUAGAAAUUGGUGCACAUAAUUGGGAAAUUUAGAGCCACUUGUCUUUCAAGGAGAUGGACUGAUCUCAAAGUUCAAAUGGUGGUGAGAUUUCCAUGUUUUCCUCCAGCUCAUAGAUAGAAGACUACUUUGAACAACAGAUCUAGUAUUUUUAUGAAUGAACAAAUGUAGCUAAUAUAGCAGUGCUAGACUUUCCAAAUCUGGCCCCAGGGUCACCUUGGAUUGAGUUUUCUUUAUUAGAUUCUCAAGAGUUUUAUGUCCUUACUAGUAUCAUACAUUUUUUAGAUAAAAAUUGUUCCAUUGUCUGUUUCUUCUUAUGUAUCUCGAGGGAGAUUUUUUACAUGUAGAUGAUUUUGUUCUUUAAAAUGAUAUAAUGAUAUAAUGUACAUUUUAAUGUAAAUUGUACUAUGACUAAAAACUUUUCUAAGAUUUAUAGGGUGCAAUUUCGUCUAAUUUUUUAAAUCUGUAACGUGACCACGUAUAAGGAUAGUUGUGUAACUUGAUAAAAGAAAAUGUGUCCUUUAAAUUUAUUGUUGGUUAAUCUCUGAACUUUUUAGUUUAAGUAAACUUAGUUAGAAACUCUGUUAGUGUAGUUAUUGCCUAAAUUGUAAUUGGGUUUAAGUUUUGUCAAAAAUGUAAGUAGGUACAUUGAUUGAAGUGAUGCGUUUGUUUAACGUCGUGAUAUAUGGUCAUAUCCUCAGUUAUUGGUAAUCAACAACCCAGUACACAGAGAUUAAUAAAGUGAAGCGUUUCAUUGAAUCCAUUGUUGUAUAUACAAAUUGUUGUUUGUUUUAGCGACCUGAUUAUAGCCUUCAAAUUGCUACCAGAGCAAGGCACAAAGAACACAAUUGAUUCUCUAUCUGUGAUUUUUUGUUGGAUAUCAAAAUACUCACACACAUACAACCCAUAAACACUUAUGUUAACACUAACAUAAGACAAUGUUCUAUACAUAAUACAUACACUUAUAUUGCCAUAAAACAAAAUCAAGUUUGUAAUACUAAUAAUUUUUACUAACCCAAAAUUGAAAUCUGUCACUGGAAUCAGAAUCGGUUUAAUGACUGUUGAAUACCAAAUCGCAGAUUGCAAACCGGAGAAAAAGAGAUAAACCUCUGCAGAUUUCUUUGGUAACAUCAACAAAUCAAAUUCCAAAUCCGUAACAGAGUUUCAAUCAAAAUCGAAAUUUGCGAUUAACAGAGGAAACAAAGAAACGACACACCAAAACAGGUAUAUAUCUCCAGCACUAGCCGUUCCUCAAGAGAAGCCAUAAUAUUUGAAGAGUGGUCAACCUGAAGACAGGAUUGCCCUUAGGUCUCAUUAAUUGAGAAAUCGGAGAUGUGUGACGCGAAGAAGAAACACACAAGAUUGUGUCUGUUUGUGAAUACGUUGACCCAAAAGUUUUAUGCUUUUAAUGAUAUAUACGUUUUUCAGCUUAUAAGCGUUUUAUUGUGCGCUUCUUGCAAGGUGACUCAUCCCAAAACUGGACAGCUAAAAGAGAUCUGUUUUACUUUUUAGUCGCAUGUUAAAAGUAAAAUGGCAUAGAAUUGUUGUUCGGGUCACAACCUUAGAUGAACAAGAAGUAUGAGCGAUUGGAUUUGUGGCC
This 2171-nucleotide long non-coding RNA is filed under the name Helianthus annuus (common sunflower). RNAcentral describes it as "hypothetical non coding rna". Lineage: Eukaryota; Viridiplantae; Streptophyta; Magnoliopsida; Asterales; Asteraceae. The record is from RNAcentral.